UACGGAGGGUGCGAGCGUUGUCCGGAAUCACUGGGCGUAAAGAGCGUGUAGGCGGCCCGGUAAGUCCGCUCUGAAAGCCCGGGGCUCAACCCCGGGAGGCGGGCGGAUACUGUCGGGCUAGAGUCCGGAAGAGGCGAGUGGAAUUCCUGGUGUAGCGGUGAAAUGCGCAGAUAUCAGGAGGAACACCAAUGGCGAAGGCAGCUCGCUGGGACGGUACUGACGCUGAGACGCGAAAGCGUGGGGAGCAAACAGG
RNAcentral lists this ribosomal RNA (253 nucleotides) under uncultured bacterium. RNAcentral describes it as "partial 16S ribosomal RNA". It matches the Rfam family "Bacterial small subunit ribosomal RNA", at positions 524 to 776 of the family's 1533-position model. The record is from RNAcentral.